CCUCCAAUAGAUAUUAUUGGACGGCAAGUCUGGUGCCAGCAGCCGCGGUAAUUCCAGCUCCAAAAGCGUAUAUUAAAGUUGUUGCAGUUAAAAAGCUCGUAGUUGAACCUUGGGCUUGGCUGGCCGGUCCAUCUUUUUUGAUGCGUACUGGACCCAGCCGAGCCUUUCCUUCUGGCUAGCCUUUUUGGCGAACCAGGACUUUUACUUUGAAAAAAUUAGAGUGUUCAAAGCAGGCCUUUGCUCGAAUAUAUUAGCAUGGAAUAAUAGAAUAGGACGUUAUGGUUCUAUUUUGUUGGUUUCUAGGACCAUCGUAAUGAUUAAUAGGGACGGUCGGGGGUAUCAGUAUUCAGUAGUCAGAGGUGAAAUUCUUGGAUUUACUGAAGACUAACUACUGCGAAAGCAUUUACCAAGGACGUUUUCAUUAAUCAAGAACGAAAGUUAGGGGAUCGAAGAUGAUCAGAUAACCGUCCGAAUAUCCCCU
This 481-nucleotide ribosomal RNA is filed under the name Lodderomyces parapsilosis. RNAcentral's name for it is "SSU rRNA". It matches the Rfam family "Eukaryotic small subunit ribosomal RNA", at positions 532 to 1029 of the family's 1831-position model. Lineage: Eukaryota; Fungi; Ascomycota; Pichiomycetes; Serinales; Debaryomycetaceae. The record is from RNAcentral.